UACGGAGGGUGCUAACGUUGUUCGGAAUCACUGGGCGUAAAGCGCGUGUAGGCGGCAUAGCAAGUCAGAUGUGAAAGCCCUCGGCUUAACCGAGGAAGUGCAUUUGAAACUGCUAAGCUAGAGUACGGGAGAGGGUUGUAGAAUUCCCGGUGUAGAGGUGAAAUUCGUAGAUAUCGGGAGGAAUACCGGUGGCGAAGGCGGCAGCCUGGACCGAUACUGACGCUGAGACGCGAAAGCGUGGGGAGCAAACAGG
RNAcentral lists this ribosomal RNA (253 nucleotides) under uncultured bacterium. RNAcentral's name for it is "partial 16S ribosomal RNA". It matches the Rfam family "Bacterial small subunit ribosomal RNA", at positions 524 to 776 of the family's 1533-position model. The record is from RNAcentral.